This 451-nucleotide ribosomal RNA is filed under the name uncultured bacterium. Its description in RNAcentral is "partial 16S ribosomal RNA". It matches the Rfam family "Bacterial small subunit ribosomal RNA", at positions 354 to 796 of the family's 1533-position model. The record is from RNAcentral.
GUGGGGAAUAUUGGACAAUGGGCGCAAGCCUGAUCCAGCCAUGCCGCGUGUGUGAAGAAGGCCUUUUGGUUGUAAAGCACUUUAAGCGAGGAGGAGGCUACCGAGAUUAAUACUCUUGGAUAGUGGACGUUACUCGCAGAAUAAGCACCGGCUAACUCUGUGCCAACAGCCGCGGUAAUACAGAGGGUGCAAGCGUUAAUCGGAUUUACUGGGCGUAAAGCGCGCGUAGGUGGCCAAUUAAGUCAAAUGUGAAAUCCCCGAGCUUAACUUGGGAAUUGCAUUCGAUACUGGUUGGCUAGAGUAUGGGAGAGGAUGGUAGAAUUCCAGGUGUAGCGGUGAAAUGCGUAGAGAUCUGGAGGAAUACCGAUGGCGAAGGCAGCCAUCUGGCCUAAUACUGACACUGGGGUGCGAAAGCAUGGGGAGCAAACAGGAUUAGAAACCCGGGUAGUCC